RNAcentral lists this long non-coding RNA (1602 nucleotides) under Panax ginseng (ginseng). RNAcentral describes it as "long non-coding RNA (PGIN_LNC006877)". The record is from RNAcentral. Lineage: Eukaryota; Viridiplantae; Streptophyta; Magnoliopsida; Apiales; Araliaceae.
ACACAUAUUGAUUGUGGUUGAUUCCAGUCAACGAAGGUUACAAAACAUAUGCCAUUUUCUGGGAAUGAACAAAUUAUAUGUAUUCACAAUAUGAACACAAUGACAAGAAGUCAUGCCCAUCAAAUGGACAAAGAAUAGAUUGGCAGAACACAGCCACUUUUACAAUUUAGAUGUUGUAUAUUAAAGACAGCUUCAAGAGAGGAUUCACUGAAAUAGGUUUCAAUUGAACAUUACAACAGCUAAAUUUUUUUGAAGAGAUGUUACUUGUCAUGAAGACAAAGCUCCAGCACUCGCCUUGCCCCUUUUGUAACUCAGAAGAGGAAAGAUCGGGUGAGCCAUAUUAUAAAUUGCACAAAAAGUAAAGCAAAAAUUCAUACAUUAGUAGAAAAAUAGUCCAAUAUCUCUACUUUCCACGUGAGCUAAAAGACUCAAUUACAUGUCCGAAAGUCUGAUCCACAGCUUUGUUCCAUAGGUGGGAAAAUUCCAGACGAGAUUUCUUCCCAAAAAUAGGCUCCCUUAUCUGAUAAGUUGAAAGAAUAAAGUUUAAAAUUUGAAGAGGUAAGACCAUGGAUUCAAUAUUUUUUUAUCUAUUUCAUGAACUUAAUGAAUAUGGAAAUUGCAAAUGCAUAAAUUCUGAGUUACUCAACACAUGAACUAAUAACUCGUCCUUCUACUGUAAUGCGUAAAACCUUGAUAUGAAAAUAAUGGAGGCAAGAUUAUUUAGGAAACCACAUAUACAAAACACACAACACAGCAGUUCCACUAAACAUAGUCAAAAAUCAGCAUGAUGUCCUUAACAAAUCAAUGUCAAAUCCAUGAAAAUGGUCUACAAGUAUUGCACUUUAACAAAUAUAUCACUCGUUUGAUACACGAGACAUGGAAUUAAAUGAGCUAAAGACACAAUGCGAGGCUCCCAUUAGCUGUUCAAAAUAGCAGACAGUAGUGUAUACAAUAUGUACAUAUAGAUCGUGUAUUAAUCGAAUCAAAGGAAAUCAUAGGCAUACACCAGUGGCUUUGACAAAGCUUUUGGCAAUGCCAUUAAGGUGGGUGACCCAAAUCAACUGGAAGAAGAAAAAAGUUACACGCAAAUAGGAAAUGCGGAAUUUGAGAAGCAAAAUCCAGAUAUUACUAUCAACUUAGUGGUUUGGAGGUUAUUGCAUUCUUUCAACAAUGGUGGUUCCAAACAGAACUUGUGGAAUCCACAUUCACAAGGUGUUGAAUACACAUUCACAAGGCAUUGAAUCUCCUUCAUUAUUGACUGCCACAUCCUCACCAUCAAUCUCUCCUUCAGAAUCAAAUAAAGCUUCUAUUCCUACCAAAUAACAUUUCUUUUGUUCAUACCAAAUAAUAUAGACAUAGAUCCCUCAAGAACCAACAAAUGAAAAUUUCCUGUAACUUUGACUUUGGUGUAUACUUUUGCUUCUAACUGUUAGUUGUGUGCAUGUGCGUGUAUGCGAAACACAACAAAGCAAACGUACCGAUUAUUCCCUAAAUUUGCAUGAGAAUCCAAUAUAUUGCUCACUAAACAGUGUUUAAGACAGAAUGUAUAUGUAUGGUAGGGAAAGAAUAAUAAAUUGGAUUAAGGAUCUUACAGAUAUGGUU